UCUAACAACAAUCAGCACGUGCCA
RNAcentral lists this non-coding RNA (24 nucleotides) under Arabidopsis thaliana (thale cress). The record is from RNAcentral. Lineage: Eukaryota; Viridiplantae; Streptophyta; Magnoliopsida; Brassicales; Brassicaceae.